RNAcentral lists this ribosomal RNA (397 nucleotides) under uncultured bacterium. RNAcentral describes it as "partial 16S ribosomal RNA". It matches the Rfam family "Bacterial small subunit ribosomal RNA", at positions 523 to 918 of the family's 1533-position model. The record is from RNAcentral.
AUACGUAGGUGACAAGCGUUAUCCGGAUUUACUGGGCGUAAAGGGCGUGUAGGCGGUCUUGCAAGUCGGAAGUGAAAUUCCUGAGCUCAACUCGGGCGCUGCUUCUGAAACUGCAGGACUUGAGUGCUGGAGGGGAUAGCGGAAUUCCUAGUGGAGCGGUAAAAUGCGCAGAUAUUAGGAAGAACACCGGUGGCGAAGGCGGCUAUCUGGACAGUAACUGACGCUGAGGCGCGAAAGCGGUGGGAGCAAACAGGAUUAGAUACCCUGGUAGUCCACGCCGUAAACGACGAAUACUAGGUGUAGGGGGUAUCGACUCCCUCUGUGCCGCAGUUAACACAAUAAGUAUUCCGCCUGGGGAGUACGGCCGCAAGGUUGAAACUCAAAGGAAUUGGCGGGG